AGCUAUAGAAGCUAAAAUAUACAAGCAUUGGUCUUGUAAGCCAAAGAUUGGGUCAGACCCCUUUAGUUU
Molecule: transfer RNA, 69 nt
Filed under: Lirapex sp. ZZ-2022
Lineage: Eukaryota; Metazoa; Mollusca; Gastropoda; Neomphalida; Peltospiridae
Description: tRNA-Thr
Source: RNAcentral